UACGUAGGGAGCAAGCGUUGUCCGGAUUUAUUGGGCGUAAAGAGCUCGUAGGCGGCUUAGAAAGUCAGGUGUGAAACCUCCAGGCUCAACCUGGAGACGCCACUUGAUACUUCUAUGGCUUGAGUUCGGCAGGGGAACACGGAAUUCCUGGUGUAGCGGUGAAAUGCGCAGAUAUCAGGAAGAACACCCGUGGCGAAGGCGGCUCUCUGGGACGGUACUGACGCUGAGACGCGAAAGCGUGGGGAGCGAACAGG
RNAcentral lists this ribosomal RNA (254 nucleotides) under uncultured bacterium. RNAcentral describes it as "partial 16S ribosomal RNA". It matches the Rfam family "Bacterial small subunit ribosomal RNA", at positions 524 to 776 of the family's 1533-position model. The record is from RNAcentral.